GCGUUGUUCGGGUUCAUUGGGCGUAAGGGGUGCGUAGGUGGCGUGGUAAGUCGGGUGUGAAAUUUCGGAGCUUAACUCCGAAACUGCAUUUGAUACUGCCGUGCUCGAGGACUGGAGAGGAGACUGGAAUUUACGGUGUAGCAGUGAAAUGCGUAGAGAUCGUAAGGAAGACCAGUGGCGAAGGCGGGUCUCUGGACAGUUCCUGACACUGAGGCACGAAGGCCAG
This 226-nucleotide ribosomal RNA is filed under the name uncultured bacterium. RNAcentral describes it as "partial 16S ribosomal RNA". It matches the Rfam family "Bacterial small subunit ribosomal RNA", at positions 538 to 763 of the family's 1533-position model. The record is from RNAcentral.